RNAcentral lists this ribosomal RNA (295 nucleotides) under uncultured bacterium. RNAcentral's name for it is "partial 16S ribosomal RNA". It matches the Rfam family "Bacterial small subunit ribosomal RNA", at positions 775 to 1067 of the family's 1533-position model. The record is from RNAcentral.
GGAUUAGAUACCCUGGUAGUCCAUGCCGUAAACGAUGUGUGCUAGACGUUGGAAACAUAGUUUUCAGUGUCGCAGCGAAAGCAUUAAGCACACCGCCUGGGGAGUACGACCGCAAGGUUAAAACUCAAAUGAAUUGACGGGGGCCCGCACAAGCAGUGGAGCAUGUGGUUUAAUUCGAAGAUACGCGCAGAACCUUACCAACACUUGACAUGUUCGUCGCGACUCUAAGAGAUUAGAGUUUUCGGUUCGGCCGGACGAAACACAGGUGCUGCAUGGCUGUCGUCAGCUCGUGCUG